GCCAGGCAUGGUGGCACAUGCCUGUAAUCCCAACCUCUCAGGAGGCUGAGGAAAGAGGAUCCUUAGUUCAAAGCCAGCCUCAGCUACUUAUAGAGGCCCUAAGCAACUCAGUGAGACCCUGUCUCUA
This 127-nucleotide small RNA is filed under the name Marmota monax (woodchuck). Lineage: Eukaryota; Metazoa; Chordata; Mammalia; Rodentia; Sciuridae. The record is from RNAcentral.